RNAcentral lists this transfer RNA (58 nucleotides) under Ictidomys tridecemlineatus (thirteen-lined ground squirrel). Its description in RNAcentral is "Spermophilus tridecemlineatus (thirteen-lined ground squirrel) tRNA". It matches the Rfam family "tRNA", at positions 8 to 63 of the family's 71-position model. Rfam says of the family: Transfer RNA (tRNA) molecules are approximately 80 nucleotides in length. Lineage: Eukaryota; Metazoa; Chordata; Mammalia; Rodentia; Sciuridae. The record is from Rfam by way of RNAcentral.
UAGCUCAGUUGGUAGAGUGCUUGCCUAGUAUGCAUAAGGCCCUGGGUUUGAUCCCCAG